CAGUCGCCGCGGGAAAACGUAGGGUCCGAGCGUUGUCCGGAAUUAUUGGGCGUAAAGGGCUCGUAGGCGGUUUGUUGCGUCGGGAGUGAAAACCCAGGGCUUAACUUUGGGCUUGCUUUCGAUACGGGCAGACUUGAGGCAUUGAGGGGAGAACGGAAUUCCUGGUGUAGCGGUGAAAUGCGCAGAUAUCAGGAGGAACACCGGUGGCGAAGGCGGUUCUCUGGCAAUGUUCUGACGCUGAGGAGCGAAAGUGUGGGGAGCGAACAGGAUUAGAUACCCCCGUAGUCCCUGUCUCUUAUAC
Molecule: ribosomal RNA, 301 nt
Filed under: uncultured bacterium
Lineage: Bacteria
Description: partial 16S ribosomal RNA
Rfam family: Bacterial small subunit ribosomal RNA
Source: RNAcentral